Molecule: long non-coding RNA, 921 nt
Filed under: Eucalyptus grandis
Lineage: Eukaryota; Viridiplantae; Streptophyta; Magnoliopsida; Myrtales; Myrtaceae
Description: long non-coding RNA (EGRA_LNC002396)
Source: RNAcentral
CAGUGUCUUCAGACUCAGUAUUCAGCCCAUAGAAGGUAAGCCAAUAAGGACUGUGCUGCUUGACCUCUACUCUUAACCACUGUCCGAAUGCCAUUUUCUCUUUACCAGACAUUUUCGCUUCAGUAAAAGGAAUUUCUUGACAAGAAGAAGCAUAGUGUCCGAGUCGGCCGCAGGAAUAGCAGAAAUGAGCGAGUCGCUCAUAACGGAAGUCUAGCCAGAAAGUCUUACCAGCUAGUCUAAGUAGUUGUCCUGUUUUCAAAGGGUUAGCUAGAUCAAGUUCUAUUCGGACACGUGCAGCUCGAAUAGUUGUACCGUCCUUUUUAUCAAUAUUUACCUGAAGCACUCUCCCCACACUUUUAACCGCUUUACAGAGCAUGUGGUCGGAACACCACUCAAGGGGAAGUCCAAAAACUUGUACCCAGAAGGCGCAUGUAGUAAAAUCAUAGUAGUGUAAAGGUGUAUUUGGUUUCCAAGGCUUAAGAAUUACCAGAUGACCAGCAAAGUUCCAUGGACCACCGUCGAGCACUCUCUGUUUUUCACUUGCUAAUUUAAAGGUAGCAAUAAAAAGGCCAUCUUCACGUUGAGUGAUUUCUACAUUGUCUACCUUCCAAACUCGGCUAAGAGUACUGUGAAGAGCUUGAGGAUUUACAGUAGGGUUAGAGAGAAUUGUACCUACUAACACAUUCCUACACUCAUGCAGCUGUUGCAUUGGAGGAGGGUCAUCCCAGACAUCGAUUUCAUCAUAUUCCGACCACAGACGGCCCAUUCUGCUGCUGAGGGCUGCCAGACGCGAUUCUUCACUCAGAUGAUGGGAAUCCAUAACUUAAUUGCGAAAAGAAACUGAAUAAUUAGAUCUGAAGGGGCUCGGACAUGAGGCAGCGGUUGCACUAAAAACUGUAGACAAAGAGAUAGGAGGUAAGG